UACGAGGGGGGCAAGCGUUGUUCGGAAUUAUUGGGCGUAAAGGGCGCGUAGGCGGUGCUCUAAGUCGGAUGUGAAAACUCUGGGCUCAACCCAGAGCCUGCAUCCGAAACUGGAGUGCUAGAGUUCUGGAGGGGGUAGCGGAAUUCCUGGUGUAGCGGUGAAAUGCGUAGAUAUCAGGAGGAACACCGGUGGCGAAGGCGGCUACCUGGACAGAAACUGACGCUGAGGCGCGAAAGCCAGGGGAGCGAACGGG
Molecule: ribosomal RNA, 253 nt
Filed under: uncultured bacterium
Lineage: Bacteria
Description: partial 16S ribosomal RNA
Rfam family: Bacterial small subunit ribosomal RNA
Source: RNAcentral